UAACACAUGCAAGUCGAACGGUAACAGGAAGAAGCUUGCUUCUUUGCUGACGAGUGGCGGACGGGUGAGUAAUGUCUGGGAAACUGCCUGAUGGAGGGGGAUAACUACUGGAAACGGUAGCUAAUACCGCAUAACGUCGCAAGACCAAAGAGGGGGACCUUCGGGCCUCUUGCCAUCGGAUGUGCCCAGAUGGGAUUAGCUUGUUGGUGGGGUAACGGCUCACCAAGGCGACGAUCCCUAGCUGGUCUGAGAGGAUGACCAGCCACACUGGAACUGAGACACGGUCCAGACUCCUACGGGAGGCAGCAGUGGGGAAUAUUGCACAAUGGGCGCAAGCCUGAUGCAGCCAUGCCGCGUGUAUGAAGAAGGCCUUCGGGUUGUAAAGUACUUUCAGCGGGGAGGAAGGGAGUAAAGUUAAUACCUUUGCUCAUUGACGUUACCCGCAGAAGAAGCACCGGCUAACUCCGUGCCAGCAGCCGCGGUAAUACGGAGGGUGCAAGCGUUAAUCGGAAUUACUGGGCGUAAAGCGCACGCAGGCGGUUUGUUAAGUCAGAUGUGAAAUCCCCGGGCUCAACCUGGGAACUGCAUCUGAUACUGGCAAGCUUGAGUCUCGUAG
This 616-nucleotide ribosomal RNA is filed under the name uncultured Escherichia sp. RNAcentral's name for it is "bacterial SSU rRNA". It matches the Rfam family "Bacterial small subunit ribosomal RNA", at positions 49 to 654 of the family's 1533-position model. The record is from RNAcentral. Lineage: Bacteria; Pseudomonadati; Pseudomonadota; Gammaproteobacteria; Enterobacterales; Enterobacteriaceae.